This is a long non-coding RNA of Oncorhynchus tshawytscha (Chinook salmon), 571 nucleotides long. Lineage: Eukaryota; Metazoa; Chordata; Actinopteri; Salmoniformes; Salmonidae. The record is from Ensembl.
GUGUAGAGGCGGCAGGGUAGCCUAGUGGUUAGAGUGUAGAGGCGGCAGGGUAGCCUAGUGGUUAGAGUGUAGAGGCGGCAGGGUAGUCUAGUGGUUAGAGUGUAGAGGCGGCAGGGUAGUCUAGUGGUUAGAGUGUAGAGGGGGCAGGGUAGCCUAGUGGUUAGAGUGUAGAGGCGGCAGGAUAGCCUAGUGGUUAGAGUGUAGAGGCGGCAGGGUAGCCUAGUGGUUAGAGUGUAGAGGCGGCAGGGUAGCCUAGUGGUUAGAGUGUAGAGGCGGCAGGGUAGCCUAGUGGUUAGAGUGUAGAGGCGGCAGGUAGCCUAGUGGUUAGAGUGUAGAGGCGGCAGGGUAGCCUAGUGGUUAGAGUGUAGAGGCGGCAGGUAGCCUAGUGGUUAGAGUGUAGAGGCGGCAGGGUAGCCUAGUGGUUAGAGUGUAGAGGCGGCAGGUAGCCUAGUGGUUAGAGUGUAGAGGGGGCAGGGUAGCCUAGUGGUUAGAGUGUAGAGGCGGCAGGUAGCCUAGUGGUUAGAGUGUAGAGGCGGCAGGGUAGCCUAGUGGUUAGAGUGUAGAGGCGGCA